This 245-nucleotide long non-coding RNA is filed under the name Struthio camelus australis. RNAcentral describes it as "lncRNA (ENSSCUG00000018309.1)". Lineage: Eukaryota; Metazoa; Chordata; Aves; Struthioniformes; Struthionidae. The record is from RNAcentral.
GCAAGGCAAGAGUCUUCUAGCAGGACAAAAGGGAGUUUCCUGCUCAAAGAUGCUUGGGACUACCGCAAUAUCUGUUCAACACUGGAAGAAACGUUGAUUGCUAAGCAGGCUGCUGGUACACGACAGCGUAAUCUCCAAAAAGAGGAUGGUGACAAGCAACUUCAGCUGAUAACCUUUUUUACUUGCACAAUUACCCCUAGAAGAUACUCGUUCACAGCUUUGCGCUCUGUGAGCGUACACUGGAA